CAGCCGCGGUAAUACGUAGGGUGCAAGCGUUAAUCGGAAUUACUGGGCGUAAAGCGUGCGCAGGCGGUUCGGAAAGAAAGAUGUGAAAUCCCAGAGCUUAACUUUGGAGCUGCAUUUUUAACUACCGAGCUAGAGUGUGUCAGAGGGAGGUGGAAUUCCGCGUGUAGCAGUGAAAUGCGUAGAUAUGCGGAGGAACACCGAUGGCGAAGGCAGCCUCCUGGGAUAACACUGACGCUCAUGCACGAAAGCGUGGGGAGCAAACAGGAUUAGAUACCCUGGUAGUCCACGCCCUAAACGAUGUCAACUAGCUGUUGGGGCCUUCGGGCCUUGGUAGCGCAGCUAACGCGUGAAGUUGACCGCCUGGGGAGUACGGUCGCAAGAUUAAAACUCAAAGGAAUUGACGGGGACCCGCACAAGCGGUGGAUGAUGUGGAUUAAUUCGAUGCAACGCGAAAAACCUUACCUACCCCUGACAUGUCUGGAAUUCCGAAGAGAUUUGGAAGUGCUCGCAAGAGAACCGGAACACAGGUGCUGCAUGGCUGUCGUCAGCUCGUGUCGUGAGAAGUUGGGUUAAGUCCCGCAACGAGCGCAACCCUUGUCAUUAGUUGCUACGAAAGGGCACUCUAAUGAGACUGCCGGUGACAAACCGGAGGAAGGUGGGGAUGACGUCAAGUCCUCAUGGCCCUUAUGGGUAGGGCUUCACAUGUCAUACAAUGGUCGGGACAGAGGGUCGCCAACCCGCGAGGGGGAGCCAAUCCCAGAAACCCGAUCGUAGUCCGGAUCGCAGUCUGCAACUCGACUGCGUGAAGUCGGAAUCGCUAGUAAUCGCGGAUCAGCAUGUCGCGGUGAAUACGUUCCCGGGUCUUGUACACACCGCCCGU
This 880-nucleotide ribosomal RNA is filed under the name uncultured bacterium. RNAcentral describes it as "bacterial SSU rRNA". It matches the Rfam family "Bacterial small subunit ribosomal RNA", at positions 512 to 1397 of the family's 1533-position model. The record is from RNAcentral.